GAUGAACGCUGGCGGCGUGCCUAAUACAUGCAAGUCGAGCGAAUGGAUUAAGAGCUUGCUCUUAUGAAGUUAGCGGCGGACGGGUGAGUAACACGUGGGUAACCUGCCCAUAAGACUGGGAUAACUCCGGGAAACCGGGGUUAAUACCGGAUAACAUUUUGAACCGCAUGGUUCGAAAUUGAAAGGCGGCUUCGGCUGUCACUUAUGGAUGGACCCGCGUCGCAUUAGCUAGUUGGUGAGGUAACGGCUCACCAAGGCAACGAUGCGUAGCCGACCGGAGAGGGUGAUCGGCCACACGUGGACUGAGACACGGCCCAGACUCCUACGGGAGGCAGCAGUAGGGAAUCUUCCGCAAUGGACGAAAGUCUGACGGAGCAACGCCGCGUGAGUGAUGAAGGCUUUCGGGUCGUAAAACUCUGUUGUUAGGGAAGAACAAGUGCUAGUUGAAUAAGCUGGCACCUUGACGGUACCUAACCAGAAAGCCACGGCUAACUACGUGCCAGCCGCCGCGGUAA
Molecule: ribosomal RNA, 515 nt
Filed under: uncultured bacterium
Lineage: Bacteria
Description: partial 16S ribosomal RNA
Rfam family: Bacterial small subunit ribosomal RNA
Source: RNAcentral